Hippopotamus amphibius kiboko is the source of this 4785-nucleotide RNA transcript. It is a transcript of the gene named epithelial mitogen, with no coding region annotated. Lineage: Eukaryota; Metazoa; Chordata; Mammalia; Artiodactyla; Hippopotamidae. The record is from RefSeq and is a predicted model, not a curated record. The transcript has 6 exons.
UUUUUGAUUGGUAAGAACUGCCAGAUGACGCUUCGUGAAAUAUAAAUGCAAGAAAGCCUCUGAGAGCUCAAUAAAAACCUUCCAGCCGUCAGUCUAGGAGGAUAAGAGCAGGAGAUGGCUUUCGGAGUUCCAAUAUCAAUUUACCUCUUAUUCAAUGCAAUGACAGCAUUGACUGAAGAGACAGCCAGGACUGUCACCCCCCUAGUCACAACCCAGCAAAGUAACUGGACAGUUAACAAAACAGAAGCUGACUACACAGAAGGACCCAUAGCCUUAAGGUUCUCACAUCCUUGCCUGGAAGACCACAAUAGCUACUGUAUCAAUGGUGUUUGUGCAUUCCACCAUGAGCUGAAGAAAGCCAUCUGCAGGUGUUUUACUGGUUAUACUGGAGAAAGGUGUGAGCACUUGACCUUAACUUCAUAUGCUGUGGAUUCUUAUGAAAAAUACAUUGCAAUUGGGAUUGGUGUUGGAUUAUUAUUAAGUGGUUUUCUUGUUAUUUUUUACUGCUACAUAAGAAAGAGACCCUGAAAAAAGCCUACCAGUGAAGCCCUGGCAUCAGAACUACAUCUUCAGCUGUCAGUUCUUGAGAACAUAUUUUUAGGUCAUCAGGAUUCAUGAGUGCUUCAUUAGUUGGCCUUUUGGAGCAUAAUGGCAGAGGGAGCAAACACUUUAAUUUCGGUCAUGCUCGAGUGAGUAAAUUUAUAAAAAGGGAAUUAUAACUGCUUGUUAGUGUGUCUUCUUUCUCCAAAUUAUUUUUUUGUAAAAUUGUGUUUUUAUAACAUUUGAAGUAGAUGAAAUGAUAACACAGUUCAUCUUUUAGUGUUUCCUGGCACAAUACAACCCUUUAAUUUUGAAACGUCCAUUUUGCUGACGUCAAGAAGAUUUCCACUCAUUAUAUGUAAUUGAAAAAAAAGUGUCUUAAGGAAAUAACAAGGCAAACAUGAGUAAUUUAAGCUUUUGAUGUUGAACAUAAGGACAGUUCUUCACAGAAGACCAUAAGUAAACCAUCUAACUUCUCUGUCACACAAACUGUAACACACUCUGUGGUAUGAUGUAAAUAUUGAUAUCCUACAACCCACUCUCAUGGGAAGGGUUACCAGAAUCUCUCUAUUGCAAAACACCACUCUUUCUGGCUUACAUCAUGACUGCUUGACAUCAGGAUACUAGCAUUUGCCAAGAUGAACCGGAAGUGUUGAAAUUUAAUUUGUGAGUCUGACACUGCUGAUCUGGGUGAGUCCACAUUUCUGUCCAAACUUUUGGCACAGCCCUAUUCAGUAGCACAUUCAAAAGCAUAUCUUCCAAAUUCAGCUCCAAAUUUCUGUUAAAUGUUCAAUGAAUGCACAACUUGGAGCACAAGGGUCUAAAUAGUUAAUUUCCUAAGAAUUCAAAGGCUAGGCUUCUUGAGAAUACCCACAUGAAUAAAUGUGUCCCAUCCAUGACAUUUUACUCCUCUGCCAAAACUACACAUGAGGGCUGUUACAGACUGUGGGCAACAACCACAGCUUCCAGAGAAGCAUCUUAUAAAGAUUAUGAAUGUGAUUAUAUGGUAACAAGAAGAACUGAAUUAUUUAAUCGGGUCUUAUCUCUAUAGUUCAUGGCCUUUCUUUGUAAUUUUUAUGUCUCAGAUAAUAUUGGAGCAUAAAUCACUUAGAUUGCAAUUCUGUUAAGACCACAGUCAAGCAGGUAUCAAACCAGAAGUGUUCUUUAAGAGAAUGUUAAUUAGGCUUCACAUCUUUCUGGAAAAAAAUGGCUUAUCUAGAUUUUUAAAACUGCACAAAAAUACUGAUUCAAUAUUAUGUCCCUUCACAAAUCAAGCUGAAGUAAUAGUGUAAUAUAGCUACCAUCAAUAAGCACUUAUAAUGUUUGAAAAGCAUUCUUAGCUUUAUUUUAAUUAAUCCAUGCCUAUAUGUAAUUGAGGCUUAGAGAAGGCAAUUCACUUUUUCAAGGUCACAUAAUCUUUAAGAGGCAGGGCCUAGACAUGAACCACAUAGAUCUAAUGUCAAACUCCUCAACUAAAUGAUAUAUGUUAAUGCUUCCCAAUAUUUUAUGAAGAAUAUUAGUGUUGGGUUUGGCUUCUUGAUGAGCUUGGGGAUAUACCCAAGAGAUUUGUAUGCAAAUGAAAAAAAGUUCUUUUCUUUAAAAUGUAUAAAAUAAUGACCUUUGUCAUGCAUCAAUCACAAAAAUUCCCUGCUGUCAUCUGCAGAUUAUUAAAAUAUGCAUACCAUCCUUAGGGUGAGGCCAGAACAAGCUUCAAGUGCCUGCUGACAGUUGAAUGUACAGUCUGGGGAGAGACUUUAGACUGUAAAUGAACCCUAGUUUAUCUUCAGUUGUGAAUGAGUUGGUCACUUGGAAACAUUUGAUGCUAGCCUGUGGACAAUGGUUUGCUGGCACUAAUGUUAUCCUAACUGAGACACUCUUGGUUCAGUUGGUAAUGAGAUGAGGAGUGAGUGGUUUUCACAUCUAUAGGAAAAUCUCAUCAACCUCCUUCCCACCACAUCACUCUCAAUCCUACCCUAGUGCCAUCUAUACCUUCGAGAAAAAUAGUCAAUGGUAGUGGUCUAGCUUGGGGCAAAAACUGGAAGCAACAUUAAAAAAAAAAUUGCAAUGGAUGGACACUUAAAGGACCUAUGAUUUAGUCUGGCUGUGUGAUUAUCUAACUUUGUUGAAGCCCUUUGUUCAGGCUAUUCUUGUUUGUUAAGUGAAGAAGUUAUACUCUAAAUAUGACCUCCACCCUCCCUUCCUGGUCAAAAGCUGUAUGUUGAAAAUGUGCAGCCUAUAUGGCAGAUCCAGUCCACAGGCAUAUUUCCUUUGGCUUUCAGUGUUUGUUUUAAAAUCAAGUCCACAUUUAGAAAUCAAGCUGUCUUACUAUAAAAACCCAGCUUUUCUAGCUUCUAGAAAAACAGGAGAUACAGGAUAUAUAUAUCUCCUGUAUCUCCUAUUAUAUAUAAUAUGUACAUAAUUAUGUUUUUCUAGGACAUCUCCUAUGUAUUUUUAAUAGGAGAUAAAGGAGAUCUCCUAGAAAAACAGGAGAUACAGAGCUCUAACCCUAUAUUCUUACAUAGCUUUGAUUAGAAGGACUGUGCCCUUGACACCCAGCUUGCUUCUGUCACUAUGCUUCCCAUUCAGGAUUCCUAUGAGCCUUAAAGUCUACCUCCAUGGUUCUCUGACCGGAUUAAUUUUAAGAUCCUGCCUCAUCUAAAUGAGUCUAGUCAUCAGGGUACCUGUAGAGGGCCUUGUUGUACUGCAAACCACUCAAGCCAUAAAAGAAUCUCAGAUGGACAGGUUGUCCAGGAACUUGCUCUUUAGGAGAAACCACACUCACCUGGAAGUUGGCAGGAGUGGCAUCCGAUGACUCAGACUCUCUGCCCUGCCAACGCCCUCAGUCACUCUCUGCUACAAUCUCUGUCAGAUUUGUUUUUUCAGUGUUCAACCCUGCUUAUGUUAACUCCCUACUCAAAAACCAAACUGACUCCUCAUUGUGCACCAUGUUUAACAAAGGCUCCCCUCCCAGUGGUGUGAGGCCCUCCACAGGGAGGUUCUGGUGGUCUCUCUUUCUCAUCUACCUACCCAGGGCGCCCUACUCAGACCGUGAGCUGCAGCCACCAGCUGCCCUCUGAUCUCUGAACAGACCUCCCAAUUCCUAUCUCUAUGUUAGGGUCUCUGCUUUUCCCUCUAUAUGUAUUACCCUCCUUCAUCUCCGUCUGCCAAGAUCCUAUGCAAUUUUUUUCAAAUCCUUUCUCCUUGAAGAAUUAUGUUAUUUACAAAUAUCAUCUUUCCCUUCCUUUGAACUCCCUGAUUAUUUUCUUUAACCUCUCAAAUAGUGCUUACAUUCUGCCCUGUAUUAUACUGACUUUUGUUCUUGGCUAAGUUCCAGUUAUGGUAAUAUUAAUAAUAAUAAUAAUAAUAAUAAUAGACUUCAUUCAUUAAGUUCAUACCAUACACUGGGCACAGUGCUAAGAAAUUUCUAUACAGCACCUCUUUCAGUCCUCAAAGACAGCCUGGAGAAAGGUUUUACUGCAAACUGUGAUGAAUAGUAGUUAAAGAGACAAGUCUUAGGAGUUGAAAAAUCUGAAGCUUAAAUCCCAGCUUCAUCCCCUACUAGCUGUGCUGCCUUGACCAAGUUUCUUAACUUUUCUAAGCCUGAGUCUUGUUAUUUAUAGAAAGAAGAUAAUAUUUAUCUGCUAGAGUUGCUUUGAGGGUAAUAGUGAGUGCUCAAUGAAUAUUAGCUAUUUUAUGAUUGUCUUCCAUUUUUCAGAUUAGGAAACUGAAAUUUGAAAAGUUUAAGUAACUUGUUCAGUGAUACGCAGCUAGUAGGUGGUAGAACCUGGAUUUUACCACAAGGCUGUCCAAUUCUGAGGCCUACUUCACUCAGCACAGAUUUUGAUCAUGGCUGUCACUUGGUUAAUGUUGUCUGAACAGGAUCUGAAAUCUCAGAGGGCCGGGUUUUGAGUCCCAACUGUUUAUUAGCUCUGUGAUGGAGAAUAAAUUAUUUAACACCUCUAAAUUUCAGUUACCUCCAUUAUAAAAUGAGGAUAAUAAUUACACCUAACUCAUAUGGUCAUUUUAGGAUUAAGCUAAUUUAGAUAGCUAAGUAAGUAAAAUAUUUAGAACACAGUACUCAGUCAAUAAAUUUUACUUAUAAUUAUUAAACAUUUGAAACUCCUGUUGAAGUUCUUAUUGAUAUUUAAUAAAGUCAGUUUUUAUUUUUUAUAACAUGACAUAUGCCUUCCUAAAAAUGUUAUCACACUGCAAAAUUAAGCAAUAAAAAUCACAGGUUUUAUGGGA